This 497-nucleotide ribosomal RNA is filed under the name uncultured bacterium. Its description in RNAcentral is "partial 16S ribosomal RNA". It matches the Rfam family "Bacterial small subunit ribosomal RNA", at positions 28 to 507 of the family's 1533-position model. The record is from RNAcentral.
GAUGAACGCUGGCGGCGUGCCUAAUACAUGCAAGUCGAGCGAACAGACGAGGAGCUUGCUCCUCUGACGUUAGCGGCGGACGGGUGAGUAACACGUGGAUAACCUACCUAUAAGACUGGGAUAACUUCGGGAAACCGGAGCUAAUACCGGAUAAUAUGUCGAAUCGCAUGGUUCAACAGUGAAAGACGGUCUUGCUGUCACUUAUAGAUGGACCCGCGCCGCAUUAGUUAGUUGGCAAGGUAACGGCUUACCAAGGCAACGAUGGUUAGCCGACCCGAGGGGGUGGUCGGCCAGCCUGGAAGUGAGGCACGGCCCAGACUCCGGCGGGGGGCCGCGGUAGGGAAUCUUCCGCGAGGGGCGAGAGCCUGACGGUGCACAGCCGCGUGAGUGAAGAAGGUCUUCGGAUCGUAGAGCUCUGUUAUUAGGGGGGAACAAAUGUGUAAGUAACUAUGCACGUCUUGACGGUACCUAAUCAGAAAGCCACGGCUAACUACGUG